Molecule: long non-coding RNA, 291 nt
Filed under: Paramuricea clavata
Lineage: Eukaryota; Metazoa; Cnidaria; Anthozoa; Malacalcyonacea; Plexauridae
Source: RNAcentral
CAUGGACGAUCUUUUGUGUUAGUAACAAACAAGUCAGACAUAAACAAGUCAGUCAUAAACAGGAAAAUAAACAUGUAAAACGCGCUUUGAUUCACAUAGUCGGCUAUAAAGACAAUGACAAUGUUUUUAAAUAUCGUUCUCUGCUAUAUUAAAAGACAAUGUCAAUGUUGAAUAACGUAGUGGGCUACUGGGCUUAUAUUCGGGGGACUUAUAUUUGGGGGGCUUAUAUUCGGGAGGGCUUAUAUUUGGAAUGAGGUAAGCAUUAGUAUAUGUGGUGGGCUUAUAUUCAGG